RNAcentral lists this transfer RNA (78 nucleotides) under Curvibacter sp. AEP1-3. Its description in RNAcentral is "tRNA-Gly". Lineage: Bacteria; Pseudomonadati; Pseudomonadota; Betaproteobacteria; Burkholderiales; Comamonadaceae. The record is from RNAcentral.
GGCUCCGUGGUGCGGCACCGGUGCAGCUCGCUCCCGGCGAGUGGCGGUGGCUGCUGGGUGCGAUUGCCAGCGGGGGCG